GAUGAACGCUGGCGGCGUGCCUAAUACAUGCAAGUCGAGCGAACGGACGAGAAGCUUGCUUCUCUGAUGUUAGCGGCGGACGGGUGAGUAACACGUGGAUAACCUACCUAUAAGACUGGGAUAACUUCGGGAAACCGGAGCUAAUACCGGAUAAUAUUUUGAACCGCAUGGUUCAAAAGUAAAAGACGGUCUUGCUGUCACUUAUAGAUGGAUCCGCGCUGCAUUAGCUAGUUGGUAAGGUAACGGCUUACCAAGGCAACGAUGCAUAGCCGACCUGAGAGGGUGAUCGGCCACACUGGAACUGAGACACGGUCCAGACUCCUACGGGAGGCAGCAGUAGGGAAUCUUCCGCAAUGGGCGAAAGCCUGACGGAGCAACGCCGCGUGAGUGAUGAAGGUCUUCGGAUCGUAAAACUCUGUUAUUAGGGAAGAACAUAUGUGUAAGUAACUGUGCACAUCUUGACGGUACCUAAUCAAAAAGCCACGGCUAACUACGUG
This 497-nucleotide ribosomal RNA is filed under the name uncultured bacterium. RNAcentral's name for it is "partial 16S ribosomal RNA". It matches the Rfam family "Bacterial small subunit ribosomal RNA", at positions 28 to 507 of the family's 1533-position model. The record is from RNAcentral.